Molecule: ribosomal RNA, 1496 nt
Filed under: uncultured bacterium
Lineage: Bacteria
Description: 16S ribosomal RNA
Rfam family: Bacterial small subunit ribosomal RNA
Source: RNAcentral
AGUUUGAUCCUGGCUCAGGAUGAACGCUAGCCACAGGCCUAACACAUGCAAGUCGAGGGGCAUCGGGGCGAGGAGCAAUCCUUGCCGCCGGCGACCGGCGCACGGGUGAGUAACGCGUAUGCGACCUGCCCGUUGCAGGGGGAUAAUCGGGAGAAAUCCCGUCUAAUACCGCGUAACGCCGCGGGGCUGCAUGGCCCUGCGGCCAAAGGAAGCGAUUCCGGCAACGGAUGGGCAUGCGUGACAUUAGCUAGUUGGCGGGGCAACGGCCCACCAAGGCGACGAUGUCUAGGGGUUCUGAGAGGAAGGUCCCCCACACUGGUACUGAGACACGGACCAGACUCCUACGGGAGGCAGCAGUGAGGAAUAUUGGUCAAUGGGCGCGAGCCUGAACCAGCCAAGUCGCGUGAGGGAUGACGGCCCUACGGGUUGUAAACCUCUUUUGUCGGGGAGCAAAUUCCGCCACGCGUGGCGGAGUCGAGAGUACCCGAAGAAAAAGCAUCGGCUAACUCCGUGCCAGCAGCCGCGGUAAUACGGAGGAUGCGAGCGUUAUCCGGAUUUAUUGGGUUUAAAGGGUGCGUAGGCGGACUGUCAAGUCAGCGGUAAAAUACGGGGGCUCAACCUCCGCCCGCCGUUGAAACUGACGGUCUUGAGUGGGCGAGAAGUAUGCGGAAUGCGUGGUGUAGCGGUGAAAUGCAUAGAUAUCACGCAGAACUCCGAUUGCGAAGGCAGCAUACCGGCGCCCAACUGACGCUGAAGCACGAAAGCGUGGGUAUCGAACAGGAUUAGAUACCCUGGUAGUCCACGCAGUAAACGAUGAAUACUAGCUGUCCGGGGCGAAUGGGCCCUGGGUGGCACAGCGAAAGCGUUAAGUAUUCCACCUGGGGAGUACGCCGGCAACGGUGAAACUCAAAGGAAUUGACGGGGGCCCGCACAAGCGGAGGAACAUGUGGUUUAAUUCGAUGAUACGCGAGGAACCUUACCCGGGCUCAAACGACACAGGAACGGUCCUGAAAGGGGUCGGCUCUACGGAGCCUGUGUCGAGGUGCUGCAUGGUUGUCGUCAGCUCGUGCCGUGAGGUGACGGCUUAAGUGCCAUAACGAGCGCAACCCCCAUCGACAGUUGCUAACAGGUCAAGUUAGGACUCUGUCGAGACUGCCGGCGCAAGCUGCGAGGAAGGCGGGGAUGACGUCAAAUCAGCACGGCCCUUACGUCCGGGGCGACACACGUGUUACAAUGGCAGGUACAGCGGGAAGCCACCUGGCGACAGGGAGCGGAACCCGAAAGCCUGUCUCAGUUCGGAUUGGAGUCUGCAACCCGACUCCAUGAAGCUGGAUUCGCUAGUAAUCGCGCAUCAGCCACGGCGCGGUGAAUACGUUCCCGGGCCUUGUACACACCGCCCGUCAAGCCAUGGAAGCCGGGGGUGCCUGAAGUGCGCUGCCGCAAGGAGCGCCCUAGGGUAAAACCGGUGACUGGGGCUAAGUCGUAACAAGGUACCC